AGAGUUUGAUCAUGGCUCAGAACGAACGCUGGCGGCAUGCCUAACACAUGCAAGUCGAACGUGAUCCAGGCUUCGGUCUGGUGAAAGUGGCAGACGGGUGAGUAACGCGUGGGAACCUGCCCUGUGGUAGGGAAUAACCGCGGGAAACUGCGGCUAAUACCCUAUGUGUCCUGAGGGACAAAGAUUUAUCGCCAUAGGAGGGGCCCGCGUCGGAUUAGGUAGUUGGUGGGGUAACGGCCUACCAAGCCAUCGAUCCGUAGCUGGUCUGAGAGGAUGAUCAGCCACACUGGGACUGAGAUACGGCCCAGACUCCUACGGGAGGCAGCAGUGGGGAAUAUUGGACAAUGGGGGCAACCCUGAUCCAGCAAUGCCGCGUGGAUGAUGAAGGCCUUCGGGUUGUAAAGUCCUUUCGGCGGGGAAGAUGAUGACGGUACCCGCAGAAGAAGCCCCGGCUAACUUCGUGCCAGCAGCCGCGGUAAUACGAAGGGGGCUAGCGUUGUUCGGAAUUACUGGGCGUAAAGGGCGCGUAGGCUGUGCUGCAAGUCAGGCGUGAAAGGCCCGGGCUCAACCUGGGAACUGCGCAUGAUACUGCGGCGCUUGAAGACGGGAGAGGAUGGCGGAAUUCCCAGUGUAGAGGUGAAAUUCGUAGAUAUUGNNAAGAACACCGGUGGCGAAGGCGGCCAUCUGGCCCGUGAUUGACGCUGANGCGCGAAAGCGUGGGGAGCAAACAGGAUUAGAUACCCUGGUAGUCCACGCUGUAAACGAUGAGUGCUAGACGUCGGGGAGCUUGCUCUUCGGUGUCGCCGCUAACGCAUUAAGCACUCCGCCUGGGGAGUACGGUCGCAAGAUUAAAACUCAAAGGAAUUGA
This 868-nucleotide ribosomal RNA is filed under the name uncultured bacterium. RNAcentral describes it as "bacterial SSU rRNA". It matches the Rfam family "Bacterial small subunit ribosomal RNA", at positions 8 to 913 of the family's 1533-position model. The record is from RNAcentral.